Molecule: transfer RNA, 83 nt
Filed under: Desulfobulbus oralis
Lineage: Bacteria; Pseudomonadati; Thermodesulfobacteriota; Desulfobulbia; Desulfobulbales; Desulfobulbaceae
Description: Selenocysteine transfer RNA
Rfam family: Selenocysteine transfer RNA
Source: RNAcentral
AGGGCACUGGUGGCUCUCCCGGACUUCAAAUCCGGUGUGCCGGUUGCAAAACCGGCAGAUGGGUUCGAUUCCCAUGCACUUCC